UACGUAGGGGGCAAGCGUUAUCCGGAUUUACUGGGUGUAAAGGGAGCGCAGGCGGCGCGGCAAGUCUGAUGUGAAAGCCCGGGGCUCAACCCCGGGACUGCAUUGGAAACUGUCGCGCUCGAGUGCCGGAGGGGCAGGCGGAAUUCCUAGUGUAGCGGUGAAAUGCGUAGAUAUUAGGAGGAACACCAGUGGCGAAGGCGGCCUGCUGGACGGUGUACUGACGCUGAGGCUCGAAAGCGUGGGGAGCAAACAGG
RNAcentral lists this ribosomal RNA (254 nucleotides) under uncultured Lachnospiraceae bacterium. RNAcentral describes it as "partial 16S ribosomal RNA". It matches the Rfam family "Bacterial small subunit ribosomal RNA", at positions 524 to 776 of the family's 1533-position model. The record is from RNAcentral. Lineage: Bacteria; Bacillati; Bacillota; Clostridia; Lachnospirales; Lachnospiraceae.